AUGCUAGCAAGAUGGGCAGCAUAUCUUGAGAGGUUUAACUAUCUCAUCGUGCAUAAAUCUGGAAUAACUAACAGAGUGGCCGAUGCUUUGAGUCGUCGUGCAUGCCUCUUGACUUCUUUUGAAGCUGAACUUCCGGGCAUGGGUCAAAUAAAGGAGUUGUAUGAGGGUGACGAAGACUUUGGCCAUGUUUGGGUAAAGCACGCAAGGGGCCGACCAUUAGGUGAUGACUAUUUGAUGCAAGAUGGAUAUCUCUUCAAAAAUGAUCGUUUGUGCAUUCCAAGAAGUUCUCUACGUGACAAGCUGGUUAGAGAGCUCCAUUCAAGUGAUCUUAGUGGCCAUGUUGGACGGGACAAGACUAUCGCUAACCUGGAAGCUCGCUACUUUUGGCCACAACUAAAGAGAGAUGCUGGAAAGUUCAUUCAACGGUGCCCCGUAUGUCAGACCUGCAAAGGCCAAGUCCAGAACACAGGGUUAUACAUGCCUUUGCCUGUUCCUGUUGCUCCAUGGGAGGACAUUUCUAUGGACUUCGUCUUGGGCUUGCCAAGAACAAGACGAGGAAGUGAUGUUGUAUUUGUGGUCGUGGAUAGAUUCUCUAAGAUGGCUCAUUUCAUCCUAUGCCGCAAGACAACGGAUGCUCAUCAUGUGGCAAACCUAUUCUUUCGAGAAGUGGUCAGACUUCAUGGAGUUCCAAGGUCCAUUGUCUCAGACCGUGAUAGCAAGUUUCUUGCUGCAUUUUGGCUCACUUUGUGGAAGCAAUUCAACACUGAAUUGAAAUUUUCUAGCACUGCUCAUCCACAAACAGAUGGACAAACGGAAGUGGUGAACAAGUUUUUGGGUAAUCUGAUCCGUUGCAUUUGUGGAGAAAGAAAGGGGCAAUGGGAUUUGGCUUUAUCUCUUGCAGAGUUCUCCUACAAUAACUCCAAGCAUAGAUCCACAGGAAGGAGCCCUUUUUCCAUUGUCUACACUAAAGUUCCAACACAUGUGGUGGACCUGGUGAAGCUGCCAUCAAGGGGAAACUCAAAAUCAGCAUUGUCCUUUGCUGAUAAUUACACCGAGUUAUUUGAAGAGAUUUGCGGCGCUUUGGAAGCACAAAAUUAG
RNAcentral lists this ribosomal RNA (1098 nucleotides) under Triticum aestivum (bread wheat). RNAcentral describes it as "partial small subunit ribosomal RNA". Lineage: Eukaryota; Viridiplantae; Streptophyta; Magnoliopsida; Poales; Poaceae. The record is from RNAcentral.